This is a long non-coding RNA of Hemicordylus capensis (graceful crag lizard), 534 nucleotides long. RefSeq lists it as uncharacterized. The transcript is spliced from 2 exons. NCBI's taxonomy places the organism in Eukaryota, Metazoa, Chordata, Lepidosauria, Squamata, Cordylidae. The record is from RefSeq and is a predicted model, not a curated record.
GUGGGUCCAUUCUCCAGUUUUGCAGUGGGCCCAGAGAAAUUGUGUGUGAGCACCAUUAAAAUGGGUCGUAAUUGUUCCUUUUCAACGGUACAAUCCCAUGCAUGUUUACUCAGAAGUAAGUCCUGGUGUGUUCAAUGCGGCUAGCUCCUUUAAAUCUAUGUCAGAAUGCAGCCUAAAUUACGUAUUAUUAAGUGGAGACACAAGUGGUUAAUAUUAUGUAGUCAUUAUAGCCCCUUCUUAUCCUCCUCAGCCAUUUCCAUUUUCAGAGCAAGCAUAGCAGACAAAAAGAUGCUCUCUUUCCACAAAACAGGAGUCUGUCAUUAUUAAGGGUUGAUAACCAAGACACCAACCAUGAAGUUGCUUGGUUAUUUGUCAGUCCUCCGUAGAAUCGGGAUAUUUCUGAAUGGAGUUUACCAGAACCACUGACAUUGUUUGGAAACUCUGGACACCCAGAGCUUGUCCCUCAGGAAGUAAACAAACACUUUGUUUCUGAGUGCGUUUGGCUUGGGUUUUAAAAACAUUUUUUUAACCUUC